RNAcentral lists this long non-coding RNA (1162 nucleotides) under Theobroma cacao (cacao). RNAcentral's name for it is "long non-coding RNA (TCAC_LNC000383)". Lineage: Eukaryota; Viridiplantae; Streptophyta; Magnoliopsida; Malvales; Malvaceae. The record is from RNAcentral.
UCGUGUAUUAUGUAUAGGUGGUCAGCCCUCUAAUAAGGGUAAAGAUAUUGUGCCCGAGGACCAAGAAUAAGAGUACUCCAAACUCCUGCUAUUGUGAGUAAUCAGAUGUUCAUCUUAAUUAUCUAAAGUGGUUUAUACUUGUUUUAAGAUUUUAAAGAAUAAGGCACUUAAUAUGCAAAUUAUUAUGUUUUACAUUUUAAAUGUUGGUUAAAUGAAUGAGGUUUAUAAAUUAUUCUGAAACUAAAUGUUGAUUUUCGAAAUAGAGUAAGUGGAGGCUAUACAUUCGUAUUAUAUAUAUACAUGAUUUGAAUUGAUGGCUUAUGAAAUUGUGGUAGCAUAAAUGGCUGAAAUUAUGGUUUUGUGAAUUAUAUAAAUUGUUUUGUCUUACAUUGACAGAUUGGAUAGUACUAUAUUAGCCAUGUUAUGCUGCCGAAAUUUUAUUGAUUUGGUGGGUUAUGUAUUUAGCUUACUACAGUGGGCGGGUUUCUGUGGACCGACCUAUUAGAGGGGCACGGUAAACCCUGUUAUAUUUUACCUUAGUACGAGAGGCGCGGAGGGUAUCUCUUAAGGUAAGUUUAGAGUUCACUUCACACCGAAUCACCACGUGAGGAUGAACCUCAACCAACGCCAAGGAAUGGCUAUAUUUUAAAAGUAAAAAUAUGUUUUAUGGGUAUAUGUCGUUUAACAUCCUUGGCGGACUCGGUUGGAUGCUUGGGCCAAGGUGUUACUGAGUAUGAGUUUUGGCACAAGCUAAGUUUUUAAGAGAAUCAUAAGCCUUGUUGAUUAUUUUGAUGAAAUGUAAUUGUUUUAUAAGAAUUGAAAUGAGUUUUGAAUGUUAUGAACUAUAUUAUGAUGGGAUGAUUUAAUUGUCUUAAUUUACUCGGCUUUAGAUGUUAUAGGUGAAUUUUGCUUACUCACUGGGUUUGUAAAAACUCACCCCUUCUUUUUAUCCAUUUCAGGCUCAGGACAAUCUGUAGACAGCCAAUUUUGUCGAGGGUUGCUUUCGAAUUUGCAUCCUUAGAAAUCGAAGGUCUACAGUCUUGUAUAUUUACGGUUAUUAUGGGGUUCACAUGUCAUUGUAGAAUAUUUUGUAUACCUGGCUACGUGUGCCACUGUAUGUAUGAAUUUAUUUUGCUUUUACGCUAUAAAAAUUAUUUACGCA